Lemur catta (Ring-tailed lemur) is the source of this 305-nucleotide long non-coding RNA. RefSeq lists it as uncharacterized. Lineage: Eukaryota; Metazoa; Chordata; Mammalia; Primates; Lemuridae. The transcript has 4 exons. The record is from RefSeq and is a predicted model, not a curated record.
GAGAAUUCUGCCUACUGGGCCUGCUUAGGAGUUAUAGCAUGUGAGUGUGCAUCAGCCUGAAUUAAGACAACCUGCAUGCCUUGGCCCCCUUAUUCCAUCUUCAAAGCCAGCACUGGCAGAAGAUGAGCUAAAGUGUCCGAGACAUUCCUAACUCAGGAUUCUUCCCUGAAGACUCUUAGGGUGUUGGCCAAAAGAAGGAAAAUGUAAUUAUCCAGUUUCAAAGCCAGCAGCCAAUACCUGAGCUUAAAUUUUCAUUUGUUCUGCACCCUGAGAGAUGGAGGUCUCACUAUGUUGCCCAGGCUGGU